AGAGAGUGAUUCUGCUACAGACUACUCAGAAAUGAGAACUGAAGAUGUCCGUUAUGGAGAAAUCAUCAUCAAAGACAAGAAGAUAAAGAGAACAGAGAUCAAUACAGUGGCGGUCUACUCCUCAGUGAAAACUAAAGACAUCAGUUAUGCUUAAGUAGCCAUCAGCAUCAGCCCAAAGAGGACCAGAGGUGCUUCUCCAUGAUUGGUGCAUCCAGGGUGGACGGAUUGUACCGAUUGGCUAAUGACCGGGAGGCAGCACAUAAGAAGACUCCGCCAGGGACUGCCAUUUCAUUCAUCCUCGGCUGACUCCGUGUGUUCACUGUUAGCAAUGUUUUUUUUUAAUGUAGGAGCAUGUAGGGGUGGACCGCCUUUUUGUUUGAUUACAGUUUUCUCCUGUUUUUUUUUUAAGUAGGGAGGUAAGUUAUUGUUGUUUGGUUUAAUUCUUUUGAGUAGGUAAGUUUGAUUUGUCUCUGAGAUAGGCUCUCUUUUGUUUGUUGUUUUGGCCUUGGGUUUACCCCGAAGUUAUAAUUC
Pelmatolapia mariae (spotted tilapia) is the source of this 531-nucleotide long non-coding RNA. RefSeq lists it as uncharacterized. The transcript has 3 exons. The record is from RefSeq and is a predicted model, not a curated record. Lineage: Eukaryota; Metazoa; Chordata; Actinopteri; Cichliformes; Cichlidae.